RNAcentral lists this ribosomal RNA (254 nucleotides) under uncultured bacterium. Its description in RNAcentral is "partial 16S ribosomal RNA". It matches the Rfam family "Bacterial small subunit ribosomal RNA", at positions 524 to 776 of the family's 1533-position model. The record is from RNAcentral.
UACAGAGGGGGCAAGCGUUGUCCGGAAUUACUGGGCGUAAAGAGCUCGUAGGUGGUUUGUCGCGUUGUUCGUGAAAACCUGAGGCUUAACCUUGGGCGUGCGGGCGAUACGGGCAUCAUUGGAGUUCGGCAGGGGAGACUGGAAUUCCUGGUGUAGCGGUGAAAUGCGCAGAUAUCAGGAGGAACACCGGUGGCGAAGGCGGGUCUCUGGGCCGAUACUGACGCUGAGGCGCGAAAGCCAGGGGAGCAAACGGG